This 1081-nucleotide long non-coding RNA is filed under the name Mus musculus (house mouse). RNAcentral describes it as "long non-coding RNA chrX:169970273-169971354". The record is from RNAcentral. Lineage: Eukaryota; Metazoa; Chordata; Mammalia; Rodentia; Muridae.
AUAGCAUUUGAAAUGUAAAUGAAGAAAAUAUCUAAUAAAAAAGGAUUUGGGACUAUCAGCUUAUUUUAUGUCAUUCAAUGGUGUUGAUGAUGGUACAUUCCCCAGCACAAUAAAGCUAAGCUUUCAAAUACACUCAGCUUAAAAGCUUCUCUUUUAUGUAAAUAUUGGAGAUUUCGUGUAAGGUUUAAAAUAUUUUGUGUUCAUAAAGGUUGUGAUUUUACCCUCUUCAUGAUUGGAAAUUUAAAACUGGUUACUGAGAAGUAAGUCUGUUGGCCAAUUUUUCAAGCUCUAAAUUUCUGCAGUAUUUAGGACUAACAAGAGAGGUGUUUUUCCUUGCCUAAACCAUCCGUUUUAACUGUUGGUCACUUAAGUGCUGAUGAAUAUGGUAUAUGGAGAAAGAAAAGUUAGAGAAUGGAAGUUGAAAGGAUUGGCUCUCGGGUUCAUGCCUCAGACCCUUUCCUUUUGGCACUAAAUGAUACUUCUGUCUUUUAUGCUGCUCAGGCGCAGCAUGCAACGUGAAGGCGACUGCAAGUUGCAGAACCUUGACCUUUCUCAUCUACUGAAACUGCAUUUGUUUGUACCUUGUUGAUUAAACAAUAUGGGAAAUAAUAGUGAAGAUGCAUGAUGUUUUCGUUAUUUCAUAGCAAAGCGAAUAUGAAUAAAAGGAUGAAAAAUAGAAUGUUCACGUGCCAUAUUUUAUUUUUAUGAUGCGAUGGCACUUGAUGUUUGGAAUAAUAAGAAAGAAUUAUUUCUCUUCAGUAAAAACAAAUCACCUGUGCUUUAAGGUAAAUCCUAUAAAUGGUUUAUGUAUCGCGUGAUUAUUUCAUCCCAUUUCAGCAAGUUACUUCUCAAAGCAUUAGUGUCUGGUUUGCAUUAUGGCUGGUAAUGUUUUCAGAACUAAUGCCAUGUUCCUAAUGCAAUUUUAGUAUGACUGGAAUUUACAAAAUAUUAUUCAUUGUAAUGUGAUGUAAAAUUAUAUCCUAUCAUGUAUAGUAAUUUUCAGAUGGGAAAUAAAUUCAAGAAACUUACCACCAGAUUAUUUAUUUCCAGGGAUCAGAUAUUGUUCUAGUUAAGAUACUCA